GACGAACGCUGGCGGCGUGCUUAACACAUGCAAGUCGAACGCAAAGGCCCUGCUUUUGUGGGGUGCUCGAGUGGCGAACGGGUGAGUAACACGGGAGUAACCUGCCCUUGACUUUGGGAUAACUUCAGGAAACUGGGGCUAAUACCGGAUAGGAGCUCCUGCUGCAUGGUGGGGGUUGGAAAGUUUCGGCGGUUGGGGAUGGACUCGCGGCUUAUCAGCUUGUUGGUGGGGUAGUGGCUUACCAAGGCUUUGACGGGUAGCCGGCCUGAGAGGGUGACCGGCCACAUUGGGACUGAGAUACGGCCCAGACUCCUACGGGAGGCAGCAGUGGGGAAUAUUGCACAAUGGGCGGAAGCCUGAUGCAGCAACGCCGCGUGCGGGAUGACGGCCUUCGGGUUGUAAACCGCUUUCGCCUGUGACGAAGCGUGAGUGACGGUAAUGGGUAAAGAAGCACCGGCUAACUACGUG
RNAcentral lists this ribosomal RNA (468 nucleotides) under uncultured bacterium. RNAcentral's name for it is "partial 16S ribosomal RNA". It matches the Rfam family "Bacterial small subunit ribosomal RNA", at positions 28 to 507 of the family's 1533-position model. The record is from RNAcentral.